This 204-nucleotide unclassified non-coding RNA is filed under the name Melitaea cinxia (Glanville fritillary). Its description in RNAcentral is "misc RNA ENSMCXG00005016237.1". The record is from RNAcentral. Lineage: Eukaryota; Metazoa; Arthropoda; Insecta; Lepidoptera; Nymphalidae.
CUUCAAAACACGCGUUGCAUCAACAUGAUCGAAUGUCACAGGUGGCAACUUAUGCAGACUUUUAGCAACAAAUAUAGGAUAUUUAAUUAUACACCUUAAUUGCAUCAACACGUACAUCUGGUAUAAGAGCGUACUACAAAUAUUAUAAUUUCUUAAGAAACCUGUCAAUAUUGUGAAAUUAACAUUAUAACAUUUUAAAAAAUC